UUUUUUAAAUACAGUUUUAUUUGAUGAAAAAUGUGUUGACUACAAAUAUUAUCAACAUCAACUUGCUCAAGAGGAAGAGGAUCUUGUACAUUCCAUGGAACCACGAGCAUAGCAGGUUGGUUUGUGUUUGAAUAUAUUUUCAGAACCAACUUAUUGUGGUAUUAUGGCUUUGGAUAUUGUGUUAGAAAAAAUUCAUUACAAAACUUAUGAUUUUGUUCUGCUAGAUGACCCAUAGUUGACAUAUAUGCUUAUGUUUCAUAUCUACUACACAAUUUGUUUUAGAUAUAACCUUUUGAAAGGAAAGUGUGAUAGUGAUCUUAUUUAUCCCAUAUCUAUGUUUCUUAUUACCUAUUCUUUUUUUUAUUGAACAAUUAGCAGGUAAGGAGCUGGAUAUAAUUGAGAUACAUGUUUAUGGUGAUGUAAUCCGGCCAGGAAACUAGUGUCAUUACAAUGUCUAUGGAAUAAUACUUGAUUCGUGUGAGAGCUGGAAUUAAGGCAUGUAUGUGUUUUG
Molecule: long non-coding RNA, 511 nt
Filed under: Lupinus angustifolius (narrow-leaved blue lupine)
Lineage: Eukaryota; Viridiplantae; Streptophyta; Magnoliopsida; Fabales; Fabaceae
Description: long non-coding RNA (LANG_LNC001569)
Source: RNAcentral